RNAcentral lists this ribosomal RNA (381 nucleotides) under Triticum aestivum (bread wheat). RNAcentral describes it as "partial small subunit ribosomal RNA". The record is from RNAcentral. Lineage: Eukaryota; Viridiplantae; Streptophyta; Magnoliopsida; Poales; Poaceae.
AUGGCCAAGAUCAGCUCAAGAAGGCGCAAGAACUUCAUCAGCGCUCUAAAAGUGGGAGACAACGUUGUGACUGCGCACGCUGAGAAGGAAAAGGCAAUACAUGAUCAUUUCAACUGCAUCCUGGGAUCCACCCAGCACCGAACCACGUCGAUCAACUGGGAUGAGUUGCGUAUGCCUUCUGUGCAAGCAAAUGGCCUGGACAACCCGUUCUCCGAGGAAGAGAUUUGGGUGGCGAUAAAGGAUUCACCAGCGGAGAAAUCGCCAGGGCCGGACGGUUUUUGCGGCGUCUUCUUUCGGAGUUGCUGGAGCAUAAUAAAGACGGAUAUCAUGCAGGCGUUCCAGCAGUUCUACCACCUGGCCGGGAAAAAAUUUGGGCUCUGA